GAUGAAGAACGCAGCGAAAUGCGAUAAGUAAUGUGAAUUGCAGAAUUCAGUGAAUCAUCGAAUCUUUGAACGCACAUUGCGCCCCCUGGUAUUCCGGGGGGCAUGCCUGUCCGAGCGUCAUUACAACCUUCAAGCUCAGCUUGGUGUUGGGCCCCGCCGCCCCGGCGGGCCCUAAAGUCAGUGGCGGUGCCGUCCGGCUCCGAGCGUAGUAAUUCUUCUCGCUCUGGAGGUCCGGUCGUGUGCUCGCCAGCAACCCCCAAUUUUUUUCAGGUUGACCUCGGAUCAGGUAGGGAUACCCGCUGAACUUAAGCAUAUCAAUAAGCGGAGGA
RNAcentral lists this unclassified non-coding RNA (329 nucleotides) under soil metagenome. RNAcentral describes it as "partial contains 5.8S ribosomal RNA, internal transcribed spacer 2, and large subunit ribosomal RNA". The stretch from base 1 to 120 matches the Rfam family "5.8S ribosomal RNA", at positions 35 to 154 of the family's 154-position model. The record is from RNAcentral.